UGGUGGGUAGUUUGACUGGGGCGGUCUCCUCCUAAAGAGUAACGGAGGAGCACGAAGGUUGGCUAAUCCUGGUCGGACAUCAGGAGGUUAGUGCAAUGGCAUAAGCCAGCUUGACUGCGAGCGUGACGGCGCGAGCAGGUGCGAAAGCAGGUCAUAGUGAUCCGGUGGUUCUGAAUGGAAGGGCCAUCGCUCAACGGAUAAAAGGUACUCCGGGGAUAACAGGCUGAUACCGCCCAAGAGUUCAUAUCGACGGCGGUGUUUGGCACCUCGAUGUCGGCUCAUCACAUCCUGGGGCUGAAGUAGGUCCCAAGGGUAUGGCUGUUCGCCAUUUAAAGUGGUACGCGAGCUGGGUUUAGAACGUCGUGAGACAGUUCGGUCCCUAUCUGCCGUGGGCGCUGGAGAACUGAGGGGGGCUGCUCCUAGUACGAGAGGACCGGAGUGGACGCAUCACUGGUGUUCGGGUUGUCAUGCCAAUGGCACUGCCCGGUAGCUAAAUGCGGAAGAGAUAAGUGCUGAAAGCAUCUAAGCACGAAACUUGCCCCGAGAUGAGUUCUCCCUGACUCCUUGAGAGUCCUGAAGGAACGUUGAAGACGACGACGUUGAUAGGCCGGGUGUGUAAGCG
RNAcentral lists this ribosomal RNA (622 nucleotides) under Escherichia coli. Its description in RNAcentral is "partial 23S ribosomal RNA". It matches the Rfam family "Bacterial large subunit ribosomal RNA", at positions 2259 to 2875 of the family's 2925-position model. The record is from RNAcentral. Lineage: Bacteria; Pseudomonadati; Pseudomonadota; Gammaproteobacteria; Enterobacterales; Enterobacteriaceae.